AUUUAAAUACUAAGUCCAUUAGAACAAGGAUUGAAAC
Molecule: non-coding RNA, 37 nt
Organism: Halanaerobium praevalens DSM 2228
Lineage: Bacteria; Bacillati; Bacillota; Clostridia; Halanaerobiales; Halanaerobiaceae
Source: Rfam